UGGGGAAUUUUGGACAAUGGGCGAAAGCCUGAUCCAGCAAUGCCGCGUAUGUGAAGAAGGCCUUCGGGUUGUAAAGCACUUUUGUCCGGAAAGAAAUCCUUGGCUCUAAUACAGUCGGGGGAUGACGGUACCGGAAGAAUAAGCACCGGCUAACUACGUGCCAGCAGCCGCGGUAAUACGUAGGGUGCAAGCGUUAAUCGGAAUUACUGGGCGUAAAGCGUGCGCAGGCGGUUUGCUAAGACCGAUGUGAAAUCCCCGGGCUCAACCUGGGAACUGCAUUGGUGACUGGCAGGCUAGAGUAUGGCAGAGGGGGGUAGAAUUCCACGUGUAGCAGUGAAAUGCGUAGAGAUGUGGAGGAAUACCGAUGGCGAAGGCAGCCCCCUGGGCCAAAUACUGACGCUCAUGCACGAAAGCGUGGGGAGCAAAACAGGAUUAGAUACCCUGGUAGUCCACGCCCUAAACGAUGUCAACUAGUUGUUGGGGAUUCAUUUCCUUAGUAACGUAGCUAACGCGUGAAGUUGACCGCCUGGGGAGUACGGUCGCAAGAUUAAAACUCAAAUGAAUUGACGGGGUCAUAGCUGUUUCCU
RNAcentral lists this ribosomal RNA (587 nucleotides) under uncultured bacterium. RNAcentral describes it as "partial 16S ribosomal RNA". It matches the Rfam family "Bacterial small subunit ribosomal RNA", at positions 355 to 1375 of the family's 1533-position model. The record is from RNAcentral.